Molecule: ribosomal RNA, 468 nt
Filed under: uncultured bacterium
Lineage: Bacteria
Description: partial 16S ribosomal RNA
Rfam family: Bacterial small subunit ribosomal RNA
Source: RNAcentral
GACGAACGCUGGCGGCGUGCUUAACACAUGCAAGUCGAACGGAAAGGCCCUGCUGUUGUGGGGUUCUCGAGUGGCGAACGGGUGAGUAACACGUGAGUAACCUGCCCUUGACUUUGGGAUAACUUCAGGAAACUGGGGCUAAUACCGGAUAGGAGCUCCUGCUGCAUGGCGGGGGUUGGAAAGUUUCGGCGGUUGGGGAUGGACUCGCCGCUUAUCAGCUUGUGGGUGGGGUAGUGGCUUACCAAGGCUUUGACGGGUAGCCGGCCUGAGAGGGUGACCGGGCACAUUGGGACUCCGACCCCGCCCCGCCUCCUACUUGAUGCAUCAGUGGGGAAUACUGCGUUUCGCGCGGAAGGCCGAUGUAGUCUCGCCGCCCUCGCGACGUCGGCCGUCCGCUUGGACCCCCCUUUCGCCUGUGAUGAAGCGUGUGUGCCGGCGCUCGUUACCGAAGCACCGCUUACCUACUUG